This 173-nucleotide ribosomal RNA is filed under the name Clostridioides difficile. Its description in RNAcentral is "partial 23S ribosomal RNA". It matches the Rfam family "Bacterial large subunit ribosomal RNA", at positions 1466 to 1624 of the family's 2925-position model. Lineage: Bacteria; Bacillati; Bacillota; Clostridia; Peptostreptococcales; Peptostreptococcaceae. The record is from RNAcentral.
GGGAUGACACAGUAGGAUAAGCUAAGCACACUGUUGGUUAUGUGUGCCCAAGCAUUGAGGCAGGCAAAGUAGGCAAAUCCGCUUUGAUAAUGCUGGGAUGUGAUGGGGAGCGAAAUUUAGUAGCGAAGUAGCUGAUUUCACACUGUCAAGAAAAGUCUCUAUCGAGGUUAAAG